RNAcentral lists this long non-coding RNA (985 nucleotides) under Pan paniscus (pygmy chimpanzee). RNAcentral describes it as "lncRNA (ENSPPAG00000045127.1)". The record is from RNAcentral. Lineage: Eukaryota; Metazoa; Chordata; Mammalia; Primates; Hominidae.
UUAUUAGGCAGAGUCUUGGUCUGUCACCCAGGCUGGAGUGCAAUGGCUCCAUCUCAGCUCACUGCAACCUCCGUCUCCCAGGUUCAAGCAAUUCUCGUGCCUCAGCCUCCCAAGUAGCUAAGACUACUGGCACGUGCCACCACACCUGACUAAUUUUUGCAUUUUUUUUAAGUAGAGGCGGGGUUUCACGAUGUUGGCCAGGCUGGUCUCAAACUCCUGACUUCAUGUGAUCCACCCUUCUCGGCCUCCCAGAGUGCUGGGAUUACAAGCGUGAGACACAAUGCGUGCUGGGCCUAACAGUGUUCCCAUUCUCAACUCAUAGAUCUGGUUUAUAAAAGUCAGUCAGAUAUUUUCUAGACCAUAUAAAUGUCAGUCACAAUAUUUAUCAAAAUGAUCACUCACUUUAAAUUUAGCUGUGGUACAGACUGUGAACCACUUACGCUUAGUUUGACAGAGCAGAUGUGAGGAUCAAUGUUUAUCUUCAUAAUUAUGUCAUAAAGUUCUUACAUCUCAAAGACUGUGUGCUUACAUUCACAAAAUUCUAGAACUCGACAUGUAUAAUUCGACAGAUUUUCUCUUCCAACUGAUGUGAUGUAUCAAGAUGAGCAACAAAAGAAGAAUCCCAAGAUAAUCACGUAAUUAUGUUAGGAGAGAUUCUCAGUUCGAUCUAAUCCUGUCUAAACAGGCUGAAAGAAAUUAGUCACUCAGAAUUAUAUGAAAGGCUCUAUUGAGGCUUGCAAUGGUAAACAACAGACCCUGGAGUAUGGGGACAACACCAAGGUACUGCCAUACUUGAGGAGGAGAUGGCAUUUCUCAGCCAAUCUUGGCAGAUUGAGGUACUGCAAAAAUCAUGAGCAGAAGACUUUAUGCCAUUGAAUGCCAUUGAGACUGUCAGUAUAACAAAGGACAGCUGUUUGUUUUUCUUCUGCUUUUCAUGGGCCAGUAUCAACUAAAGAUUGUCAAUUUUUAAGACCUUACUUAAGGA